UUUAGCGUAUUUCUUCAGUUGGGUAUCACUAGUGCAAAUAUUUACAAAUCUAUUUGUAGAUUUUAUUCUUCUAUCCUAAGCUAAAAACUAUAAAUGUCAUUGGCAUAUAUAGCUGUAAAGAUAAGAAGGCGAAAUAACCUGUAAAGCAUAUAUAGCUGAUCCAAAGUAAAAUAAAGUUCGAAAAGAGAAAAAGAAGACUUAUCCAUAAAGCAUCUCCCUUUACUUGUGAAUGACUCCACAGAGUCUACACAAAAGCUUUUAUGGAAUAUGGAUAACAUGGAUGAAAUCAUAAAGAAAACUUCUCAAAUAAAGUAAGAAUUCAAAGUUAUUAUCUUCCAUAGAUAAGAAAAAUUGGUUUACCAACAAAAAAAAAUAAAAAUAAAAAAUCUCUAGCUCCCGCCUUGCUUUCAAAUAAAAUUUUACUCUAAAAGGUAGUUGGUGUUGAAAAAAUAUUAUAUCUCAAUAAGAAUAAUAAUAAUCUCAUUAAUUUCCUUAAAUGUCUACCAUUCAAUUUGGUCAAACAUGUUGCCCAACGUCUCACUAUUCAAUUUGGCCAAAUAAAUUAUAUUGAUUGUCAAUUGCCUUUAUGGCUUUUACUCAUCUUUCAUUAGCUUUUAAUCCCUUAUAUUAACGUUAGAAAAGAACUUCUUUAUGGGAAUGAGAUUUCAUUCUGAUAGUGAGUUCUUUCACUGGAUAUAUUCUCUAAUAUUAUGUUCAUCCUAGUAGAAAAACAGUGAAACAAUUUCUUCUCUUUUCUUUUGUUGGGUUCUCUACUUUGUGAAAUCUUUAUUAGAUUCUGAUUCAUAGUUUUAUACUAGAAGAGCUUGUUGAAUCCCGAGAGAUACACCCAUACCAGGUGAAAUAUCCUUAAGGACAACGUCUUCAUUGACAUGCCUCAAACUUUCAAGAAUUUCCUACAAGGUUCUGAUACGAUGUUGUCAAUAAUAUCAUCAGCUAAAGUGACAUCAGUGCUGAUAACAUCAACAUCAUUUCUUCCCCAGUUUAUAAAGUCUUCAUCUUCCUCAAAUGUACACAAGAAAUCAUUACAAGCAUCUUGUUGAAAAAUAUCUUCACUUACAGCACCUCCAGUAAAAUAGGUAGAAUGACCAUUCAAGACAAUUGACCAAUUUGGAUGAAGAUUAUCCUUGACAUAAAAAACUUGUUUGAUUGAGAUGCAAGCACACAUGGUUCAUUUGUUGCUAGUUUUCGCUUAGUAUUGACACUAACAACACCAUGUUUAUCUAUUUUCACUCCUCUUCCUACGUGAUCAACGUCCCACCAGUCACAUUUAAACAAAACAAUCCACUUACUUUUGAAGUAUUGAAGUUCUACUAUUUCAGUUAGAACACCAUAAUAAUUAAUAUUUAGACCAUUCACUACUCCUCUUACUAAAACCCCACUAUUUUGCUUCACCCUAUUUUCCUCGAGUAGUUUAGUGUGAAACCUGAAACCAUUUAUUUCAUAACCCUUGAAUCUUUGAACUCCAUUAAAAGGACCUCUAGCCAAAGAAUACAACUCACAACUUGCAAGUGAAUUCCCUUCUCUGUGCAUUUGUACAAUUUGUAUGGUAUUACAAAUUGAAUUCAACACCUGUUCUUUGAGUGUUUAAUAGCUGGAGCUAUCUGGAAGAAAUUCAUGGCAUGGGUAUCCAAAGAAGUGUAUGGGGGUGGAGGGAAGAGCUGCAAUGGGCUGAAAGGCAUCACAUGGGAAGGAACAAAGCUAGUCAACUUUAUAGAGUCUCACUAGCAGUUGCAACUUACAAUGUUUCGCAAGAGAGGAUUGGUCGAUUUUUCGGAAGCAACAGAGAGCAAUUGAAAGCAUGGUAAGAAGGAUUAUUCAGGAAAUCUACUAUAGAGCUCAUUUAAAUGCCAAACUAGCUACUUAUGUCUAGCACUUUGAUGUAUAUCCUAGUUGACUAAGUAGAUCACCUGAAAGAGUAGAAAGACCUUAGGUCUUGAGGUUUCAUAUGUUGCACUAAGUUUGGGACUUUGUCCAGAAAGGUGUUUGUUCUUUGUUGCCUUUGUUUGGGCUUGUGCUGUAACGUUUCACUUGGUAAUAAAAUAGUUUAUUUACCAAAAA
Molecule: long non-coding RNA, 2079 nt
Organism: Lycium barbarum (goji berry)
Lineage: Eukaryota; Viridiplantae; Streptophyta; Magnoliopsida; Solanales; Solanaceae
Exons: 2
Source: RefSeq, a predicted model, not a curated record